This is a long non-coding RNA of Patella vulgata (common limpet), 358 nucleotides long. RefSeq lists it as uncharacterized. The record is from RefSeq and is a predicted model, not a curated record. The transcript is spliced from 3 exons. Lineage: Eukaryota; Metazoa; Mollusca; Gastropoda; Patellidae.
UGUAACUCUUUAAAAACACAGCAAAACCCAAACGAUCUGUACAAGUUUGCCAUCUUGUCCACUCCACUCAACUAUAUCACCUGUCUUAAGACGUAACAUGAAGACUUGUUUGUUGCUGUUAGUUUUAACUGCAGGGUGUUGGUGUGCAACUGUAGCCCCUGGGCGAUGUUUAUUUAGUUGCAUAACGUUGUAUUCCCCAAUAUGUGGAGAUGACGGCGUUACCUAUGACAACAGAUGCCAUAUGGCGGCGCGGGCAUGCGUGUCUGGAAUUACAGUAAGAGUUAAACAUGCGGGACCCUGUGACGAAAUUUCUGACAGUUAGCAUGUUUGACCGACAUAAAUGAAUAAUAAAACAUUA